UGGGGAAUCUUCCGCAAUGGACGAAAGUCUGACGGAGCGACGCCGCGUGUACGAAGAAGGCCUUCGGGUUGUAAAGUACUGUUGUUGGGGAAGAACGGCUCAAGUGUGAAUAAUGCUUGAGAUUGACGGUACCCAACGAGGAAGCCCCGGCUAACUACGUGCCAGCAGCCGCGGUAACACGUAGGGGGCGAGCGUUGUCCGGAAUUAUUGGGCGUAAAGGGCGCGUAGGCGGCCGUUUAAGUCUGAUGUGAAAGUGCGGGGCUUAACCCCGUAAAGCAUUGGAAACUGGAUGGCUUGAGGACAGGAGAGGAAAGUGGAAUUCCUAGUGUAGCGGUGAAAUGCGUAGAUAUUAGGAGGAACACCAGUGGCGAAGGCGACUUUCUGGACUGUUUCUGACGCUGAGGCGCGAAAGCGUGGGUAGCGAACAGG
Molecule: ribosomal RNA, 429 nt
Filed under: uncultured bacterium
Lineage: Bacteria
Description: bacterial SSU rRNA
Rfam family: Bacterial small subunit ribosomal RNA
Source: RNAcentral